CAGAUUUUUUUUUUGAACCUUCAGUUUUGAUUUUACGGAAUUUUUGCUACGAAUUUGAAAGCAUUUCCCAGAAUUUAUAUGUAUUUCGAGGCAAAAAGACUUUGACACAACAUUUGUUCGCACUGUAGCUUGAAUAUUUUAUGAGAGCUCAAUUGGGGCUUGGAAAUUGUUAUUGGAUGAUGGAAAUGCAUGAAUAUUUAGAAGAAAAUAGAGAAGCUCCUACUAGAUAAUAGCUAUCAAGCAUGGGGGAUGUACAUGAUAUAAAAUCUCUUCAACGGCUAAUUAAGGCUACCAAAAUUAUGUUAAUGUUGUCAUUUAAUGAAAGAAAGGCAUGAAUAUGAAGGAAUAUUCAAAGAAUUGAAGCCACAAUCUUGUUUCCCCCUUAUGGUCGAAAUUACUAGGGCUAAUUAAGACUAAACAGAAGGUAAUAGAAAUACAGAAAAUGGUCUAUACUUAGAGUAAACGAUCUGGACAAUAAACAAACCAAUUAAUGAAAGUUAGCUACAGGAAUCGAUUAGUAUUAUUUCGUUAAGGAACGUUAAGGAACUUCCAUAUUAAUAACAGUUCUAUAUAAAUACUUCCAUUUACCUAAGCCAAAAUUCAAUAAGAAACUCCUUCACAGAAGUCGAUGCAUAAAUUUAUUUAAAUAUUCUCCAUUUCCAAAAGAAACUCCAAUAAGACCUAUAAGACCUAUGCCCACAACUCCACCCAUUUCGAAAGGCAAACACACGCUCGAAGGCGAGUACAUACGAGUAUAUCUAGGGAAGUUUCCUAUUUCUUAAUUAAGAAGCUCAUGUUGCCAUUUCCCUACAAAGACUCUUAUUUACUUGGACACUUUCUUAGCCAUAAAAUCUAUUAAUAAUGUGAUG
Drosophila miranda is the source of this 869-nucleotide long non-coding RNA. RefSeq lists it as uncharacterized. The transcript has 3 exons. The record is from RefSeq and is a predicted model, not a curated record. NCBI's taxonomy places the organism in Eukaryota, Metazoa, Arthropoda, Insecta, Diptera, Drosophilidae.